AAAAGGGGACACCACCUUUGUAGUGGUUAAUGCUAGAGGUAGCUAAUGAAUGCAAGCAUGAAGUGCUAAAUGUUGUGUAUUCAUGAAGUGAUUAUUAGUUAGUCGAAACUUAAGUCAAGUUUGAAUUUGAAUGAAGUGGAUUAUUUUGUUAGGACUUCAAUUGACCAAACGAUUAAAUUAUUUUACAAUCUACAAUUUUUGAAUAUGUAAGUUGGAUACAAGUUUAAAUUUGGGAUAUGCUUUGCUAAUAAUGAAAGUUAGAGGGGUUAGAUUAUAUUAGUUGAAAAGAUGAGAGACUUCCUUUGUAAAUCUAGGAUUUAUGGCCACUUAUUACCCUAUAAUCAACCCACUUGUCAUCUAUCAUCACCAUACACUUAGACAAUAGACUAAACAUGUGUAGA
Molecule: long non-coding RNA, 401 nt
Filed under: Olea europaea (common olive)
Lineage: Eukaryota; Viridiplantae; Streptophyta; Magnoliopsida; Lamiales; Oleaceae
Description: long non-coding RNA (OEUR_LNC011898)
Source: RNAcentral